RNAcentral lists this ribosomal RNA (480 nucleotides) under uncultured bacterium. RNAcentral's name for it is "partial 16S ribosomal RNA". It matches the Rfam family "Bacterial small subunit ribosomal RNA", at positions 28 to 523 of the family's 1533-position model. The record is from RNAcentral.
GACGAACGCUGGCGGCGUGCUUAACACAUGCAAGUCGAGCGGAAAGGCCCUUUCGGGGGUACUCGAGCGGCGAACGGGUGAGUAACACGUGAGUAAUCUGCCCCUGGCUUUGGGAUAGCCACCGGAAACGGUGAUUAAUACCGGAUACGACCACUUCUCGCAUGGGAUGGUGGUGGAAAGGUUUUCGGCCAGGGAUGUGCUCGCGGCCUAUCAGCUUGAUGGUGGGGUAAUGGCUCACCAUGGCUUCGACGGGUAGCCGGCCUGAGAGGGUGACCGGGCACACUGGGACUGAAACACGGCCCAGACUCCUACGGGAGGCAGCAGUGGGGAAUAUUGGACAAUGGGCGGAAGCCUGAUCCAGCAACGCCGCGUGAGGGAUGACGGCCUUCGGGUUGUAAACCUCUUUCAGCAGGGACGAAGCGCAAGUGACGGUACCUGCAGAAGAAGCACCGGCCAACUACGUGCCAGCAGCCGCAGUAA